GCGGGUGUAGCUCAAUGGUAGAGUUCUGGCCUUCCAAGCCAGCUGUGAGGGUUCGAUCCCCUUCACCUGCUCCA
This 74-nucleotide transfer RNA is filed under the name Clostridioides difficile. Its description in RNAcentral is "tRNA-Gly". It matches the Rfam family "tRNA". Rfam says of the family: Transfer RNA (tRNA) molecules are approximately 80 nucleotides in length. Their secondary structure includes four short double-helical elements and three loops (D, anti-codon, and T loops). The record is from RNAcentral. Lineage: Bacteria; Bacillati; Bacillota; Clostridia; Peptostreptococcales; Peptostreptococcaceae.